This is an RNA transcript of Canis lupus familiaris (dog), 3761 nucleotides long. It is a transcript of the gene named diaphanous related formin 3, with no coding region annotated. NCBI's taxonomy places the organism in Eukaryota, Metazoa, Chordata, Mammalia, Carnivora, Canidae. The transcript has 30 exons. The record is from RefSeq and is a predicted model, not a curated record.
GAGCUGCGGGGAAAGAUGGAUCGGCCCCGGCCGCGGCCGCACCACCCGAAGCCCGGCUCCGCCGCCGCGGGGGCGCCCUACCCCGCCUCCGCCUCGCUCCGCAGCUGCAGGGAAAGCAAGAUGCCGCGCAGGAAGGGCCCCCAGCGCCCUCCGCCCGGCGCCGUCGAGGAGCCUGGAGAGAAACGCCCCAAGUUCCAUUUAAAUAUUAGGACAUUGACGGAUGAUAUGCUGGAUAAAUUUGCCAGCAUAAGAAUUCCAGGGAGCAAGAAGGAGAGACCUCCACUUUCUAACCUGAAGACUGCAUUUGCAAGCAAUGAUUGCUCUUCAGAGGUGAUGGAAAACAUUCCAAAGUCACUGUCAGAGAAUGAAGUCUUAGAACUUUUCGAAAAGAUGAUGGAAGAUAUGAAUUUAAAUGAAGAUAAGAAGGCACCAUUGCGGGAAAAGGACUUCAGCAUCAAAAAAGAAAUGGUGAUGCAGUACAUUAAUACUGCUUCUAAGACAGGAAGUUUUAAGAGUAAGCGCCAGAUCUCACCUCAGGAAUUCAUCCAUGAACUGAAAAUGGGGUCUGCAGAUGAGAGACUUGUAACAUGCCUGGAGUCCCUCCGUGUGUCUUUGACUAGUAAUCCUGUGAGUUGGGUAGAAAGCUUUGGACGCGAGGGGCUUGGAUUAUUACUGGACAUUUUGGAAAGACUGAUUAGUGGCAAAAUACAAGAGAAAAUUGUAAAGAAGAAUCAGCAUAAAGUCAUACAGUGUCUAAAGGCUUUGAUGAAUACACAGUAUGGCUUGGAAAGAAUUAUGAGUGAAGAGAGGAGUCUUUCUCUAUUAGCCAAAGCCAUCGAUCCUGAGCACCCAAGUAUGAUGACAGAUGUGGUGAAACUCCUCUCUGCGGUAUGCAUUGUAGGAGAGGAAAGCAUUCUCGAAGAGGUUUUAGAAGCUUUAACAUCAGCUGGAGAAGAAAGAAAAAUCGACAGAUUUUCAUCCAUUGUGGAAGGUCUCCGGCAUGAUUCAGUUCAACUGCAAGUAGCGUGUAUGCAGCUCAUCAAUGCCCUUGUUACAUCUCCUGAUGAUUUGGACUUCAGGCUUCACAUCAGAAAUGAAUUUAUGCGUUGUGGAUUGAAAGAGAUCUUGCCAGAUUUAAAAUGUAUGAAGAAUGAUAGCCUGGAUAUCCAACUUAAAGUCUUUGAUGAGCAUAAGGAAGAAGAUUUGCUUGAGUUCUCCCAUCGCCUUGAAGAUAUUAGAGCUGAACUUGAUGAAGCAUAUGAUAUUUACAACAUGGUGUGGAACUCAGUUAAGGAAACUAAAGCAGAGGGAUAUUUCAUUUCUAUUCUUCAGCACCUUUUGCUGAUUCGAAAUGAUUAUAGUAUAAGGCAACAGUACUUCAAAUUAAUUGAUGAGUGUAUAUCUCAGAUUGUAUUGCAUAGAGAUGGGAUGGAUCCAGACUUCACAUAUCGGAAAAGACUGGAUUUAGAUUUAAGUCAGUUUGUUGAUACUUGCAUAGAUCAAGCAAAACUAGAAGAGUUUGAAGAGAAAGCGUCAGAACUGCACAAGAAAUUUGAAAAAGAGUUUACCGACCACCAAGAAACUCAGGCUCAAUUGCAGAAAAAAGAAGCAAAGAUUAAUGAACUUCAAGCAGAGUUACAAGCUUUUAAGUCAGAGUUUGGUGCCUUGCCAGCUGGUAGAAAUCACUCUUUGCCACAGUCAAAAGAAAAUGGAACUGGCCCCCCAGCACUUGCUCCUCCCCUGCCACUGCCAUCUUGUGGAGGCAUGCCGCCUCCACCCCCUCCUCCCCCACCUCCUCCGCUUCCAGGAAUGCCAAUGCCUUUUGGUGGUCCCGUGCCUCCUCCACCACCUCCUCUGGGAUUUCUCAGUGGGCGAAACUCUCCUCCUCCACCAACCCUACCAUUUGGGUUAAAACCAAAGAAAGAAUUUAAACCUGAAACCAGCAUGAGAAGAUUGAAUUGGUUAAAGAUCAGACCUCACGAAAUGACUGAAAGCUGUUUCUGGAUCAAAGUAAAUGAAAAUAAGUAUGAAAAUGUGGAUUUGCUCUGUAAACUUGAGAAUACGUUUUGUUGCCAACAAAAAGAGAGAAGAGAAGAAGAAGAUUUUGAAGAAAAGAAAGCUAUUAAGAAAAAAAUUAAAGAGCUUAAAUUUUUAGAUUCUAAAAUUGCCCAGAAUCUUUCCAUCUUCCUGAGCUCUUUUCGGGUGCCAUAUGAGGAAAUCAAAACGAUGAUAUUGGAAGUGGAUGAAACACAGUUGGCAGAGUCUAUGAUUCAGAACCUAAUAAAGCAUCUUCCUGAUCAAGAACAAUUAAGCUCACUGUCUCAGUUCAAGAAUGACUAUAACAACCUAUGUGAACCCGAGCAGUUUGCUGUUGUGAUGAGCAAUGUGAAGAGACUACGGCCACGGCUCAGUGCUAUUCUCUUUAAGCUUCAGUUUGAAGAGCAGGUGAACAACAUCAAACCUGACAUCAUGGCUGUCAGUACUGCCUGCGAGGAGAUAAAGAAGAGCAAAAGCUUCAGCAAGUUGCUGGAACUUGUAUUGCUAAUGGGAAACUACAUGAAUGCUGGCUCCCGGAAUGCUCAAACCUUCGGAUUUAACCUUAGCUCUCUCUGUAAACUAAAGGACACGAAAUCAGCAGAUCAGAAAACAACACUACUUCAUUUUCUGGUGGAAGUAUGUGAAGAAAAGUAUCCUGAUAUCCUGAAUUUUGUGGAUGAUUUGGAACAUUUAGACAAAGCUAGUAAAGUCUCUGUAGAAACGCUGGAAAAGAAUUUGAAGCAGAUGGGAAGGCAGCUUCAACAGCUUGAGAAAGAUUUGGAAACCUUUCCCCCUCCUGAGGACUUGCAUGAUAAGUUUGUGACAAAGAUGUCCAGCUUUGUUAUCAGCGCAAAAGAACAAUAUGAGAAACUUCUAAAGUUACAUGAAAAUAUGGAGAAGUUAUACCAGAGUGUGAUGGGAUACUAUGCCAUUGACGUGAAGAAGAUGUCCGUGGAAGACUUUUUUAAUGACUUGAAUAAUUUCAGAACCACAUUCAUGCAAGCAAGAAAGGAGAACAUCAAAAAAAGAGAAGCAGAGGAAAGGGAAAAACGUGCCCAAAUAGCCAAAGAAUUGGCAGAGAAAGAAAGACUUGAACGCCAACAAAAGAAAAAGCGCUUGUUAGAAAUGAAGACUGAGGGUGAUGAGACAGGAGUGAUGGAUAGUCUGCUGGAGGCUUUGCAGUCGGGCGCUGCCUUCCGCGACCGAAGAAAAAGGACGCCAAAGCCAAAAGAUAUUCGGCAAAGUCUCAGUCCCAUGUCCCAGAGGCCUGUUCUGAAAGUUUGUAACCAUGAUUGUGGUUAUGACAACGUACUUGUAUGCUGAGGGGAAUGAUCACAUGAGGAAGGAAACCUUUCCAAUAGAGGCCACAGCUGUCAGAAGGAUGUCCUUGAAUAGACAAAUGACAGUAGUAUGUGGUGCUCACUGUGCAGUUUACCCAAUUUAAUGUCAUCUUUGCCAUCAAAACUGGAGCUAGAGUCGCCCAGUAGCAGAAUAGCAGCCACUCCAUUGGUGACAUCAUCAUGAUGGAAUCGUUUACAAGAAAUCCAAUGACAAGAAGAGAUAGGAACAUCUGGGGGAAAGGAACAAAAAUCAGAAAGUGCAGUUGACAGAAGGGUCACGUUCACACUACAAUAUCAAUUGCAACUCAACGAGGACUCCAGUCGCCAAGGAGCUUAAUUAUAAUCUAGACACUCAUACGUCUACAGGGAGGAUCAAGGCAGUUG